AACGAACGCUGGCGGCAUGCCUAACACAUGCAAGUCGAACGAGACCUUCGGGUCUAGUGGCGCACGGGUGCGUAACGCGUGGGAACCUGCCCUUAGGUUCGGAAUAACUCCCCGAAAGGGGUGCUAAUACCGGAUAAUGUCUUCGGACCAAAGAUUUAUCGCCUUUGGAUGGGCCCGCGUUGGAUUAGCUAGUUGGUAGGGUAAAAGCCUACCAAGGCGACGAUCCAUAGCUGGUCUGAGAGGAUGAUCAGCCACACUGGGGCUGAGACACGGCCCAGACUCCUACGGGAGGCAGCAGUGGGGAAUAUUGGACAAUGGGCGAAAGCCUGAUCCAGCAAUGCCGCGUGAGUGAUGAAGGCCUUAGGGCUGUAAAGCUCUUUUACCCGGGAUGAUAAUGACGGUACCGGGAGAAUAAGCUCCGGCUAACUCCGUG
This 433-nucleotide ribosomal RNA is filed under the name uncultured bacterium. Its description in RNAcentral is "partial 16S ribosomal RNA". It matches the Rfam family "Bacterial small subunit ribosomal RNA", at positions 29 to 507 of the family's 1533-position model. The record is from RNAcentral.